AGCUUUAAAAAGUAUAUAGAUUGCAAUUCUAUAAAGGUAAAUAAAAUUACUAAGGCUU
Molecule: transfer RNA, 58 nt
Filed under: Pseudoglomeris magnifica
Lineage: Eukaryota; Metazoa; Arthropoda; Insecta; Blattodea; Blaberidae
Description: tRNA-Cys
Source: RNAcentral